This is a long non-coding RNA of Myotis daubentonii (Daubenton's bat), 467 nucleotides long. RefSeq lists it as uncharacterized. The record is from RefSeq and is a predicted model, not a curated record. Lineage: Eukaryota; Metazoa; Chordata; Mammalia; Chiroptera; Vespertilionidae.
CAGGAGGUCUCAGUCUCCUUCCUGCUCGGGCUCCUCUGGGCUGAGCCUCCAGGGCGGGAGACGGGAGGGUGAGUGGUUACGGUCCUUUGCUUCUUACUGAGCAGCUCAAAGCCAACACCCCCCAUCAGCUUCCUGCCGUUUCCGUCCCUUCACCUUCCUCUCCCACAGGGUCCCCCGGGAACCGGUGACGGACAGUCUGGGAACCGCUGUUGGGCACAGGUCGCUCUGCGCUUCCCACGAGGCAUUUCGGAGGGGAAACAGGGGACGAGCCUCUCUGUGCCGGGCCCUUCCAGCUCCCACGGAGCCGGCCUCGGAAAGGUGAGCAACGAGAAGCAAGAUCUCCGGCCACCACGGCCUCACCCAGCCCUCCCCGCCCCUCACGCCCCCAGCUCCUCCAGACAAAAGGGGAGCCUGAGGUCGUGUGCUGAGCAGACCCACAGACAUACGUCUGGUGAACACGGAGGAAG